GAUGAACGCUAGCUACAGGCUUAACACAUGCAAGUCGAGCGACCGGCGCGCGGGUGAAAAACUCGUAUCCAACCCGCCCUUUACUGGGGGAUAGCCUUUCGAGAGAAAGAUUACUACCCGAUGGAAAGGAUGGGGAUUCGUUACAUUAGGUUGUUGGUGAGGUAACGGCUGACCAAGCAUUCGAUGGAUAGGGGUUAUGAGAGGAAGGUACCCGACAAUGGAACUGAGACACGGUCCAAACUCCUACGGGAGGAAGGAGUGAGGAGUAUUGGUGAAGGGGCGUUAGCCUGACCCAGCCAAGUAUCGGGAAGGGUGAAGGAUUUUGGGUCGUAAACUUCUUUUAUGGAAGAGAAUGUAUUAUAUGAAUAAGGAUCGGCUAACUCCGUGCCAGCAGCCGCGGUAAUUC
RNAcentral lists this ribosomal RNA (406 nucleotides) under uncultured bacterium. Its description in RNAcentral is "partial 16S ribosomal RNA". It matches the Rfam family "Bacterial small subunit ribosomal RNA", at positions 28 to 526 of the family's 1533-position model. The record is from RNAcentral.